CCUACGGGAGGCAGCAGUCGAGAAUCAUUCACAAUGGGGGAAACCCUGAUGGUGCGACGCCGCGUGGGGGAAUGAAGGUCUUCGGAUUGUAAACCCCUGUCAUAUGGGAGCAAAUUAAAAAGAUAGUACCACAAGAGGAAGAGACGGCUAACUCUGUGCCAGCAGCCGCGGUAAUACAGAGGUCUCAAGCGUUGUUCGGAAUCACUGGGCGUAAAGCGGGCGUAGGCUGUUUCGUAAGUCGUGUGUGAAAGGCGCGGGCUCAACCAGCGGACGGCACAUGAUACUGCGAGACUAGGGUAAUGGAGGGGGAAGCGGAAUUCUCGGUGUAGGAGUGAAAUGCGUAGAUAUCGAGAGGAACACUCGUGGCGAAGGCGGGUUACUGGACAUUAACUGACGCUGAUGCACGAAGGCCAGGGGAGCGAAAGGGAUUAGAUACCCGAGUAGUC
This 446-nucleotide ribosomal RNA is filed under the name uncultured bacterium. Its description in RNAcentral is "partial 16S ribosomal RNA". It matches the Rfam family "Bacterial small subunit ribosomal RNA", at positions 338 to 795 of the family's 1533-position model. The record is from RNAcentral.